CUAAGUCAAUGCUAAAGCUAACAAGCUAACUAGGAUGAAUUUUCUGGUUAAUCGACAAAAGGAUAAAGUUUGUGAAACCUCCAGAAAUACAGGAUGAGGGCACUGGGAUGAUGCGCUAGCCCACCACCACUGAGAUCUUGAGCUGGUGGACUGGGAUCCUUGUCACUGCUGCCUCUUCUGGCCGGUCGAACCGCCUACAUGAGAGCCCAGAGUGUUACAAAAACAAAGUAGCAAAUUAAAGACAUGUUACAUCAGUACAUCCUGCAAUGGAGAAAGUGGAUAGCAAAGGGAUAGUGCAGAAAUGAGAACUGGAUGUCGUCUGUGAGAAGAUCAGUUCCUGGAAACACAUCAGUAGUAGCAGGCAGAAGCUACUAACUGCAGCUAGAAGGAUCACGACCCUAAUGUACAAUAUCCACUCUGAACUGUUUACUGUCAAACCUGUGAUUGUCACAGCAAAUCUGUGAUUCACCCCCUGCCUCCGCUCAUCAGGGACCACUCAUUCAAUCUGAUCGGUGUUAAUCUCUGAACAAACACUUCUAAACAAACAAAACUGAUGUAAAAUGCAAUAAAAACAAGA
Long non-coding RNA from Trichomycterus rosablanca, 577 nucleotides. RefSeq lists it as uncharacterized. The record is from RefSeq and is a predicted model, not a curated record. Lineage: Eukaryota; Metazoa; Chordata; Actinopteri; Siluriformes; Trichomycteridae. The transcript is spliced from 3 exons.